ACGCCUAAACAUGCAAGUCGAACGCAGUAGCAAUACUGAGUGGCAAACGGGUGAGUAUAAUGUGGGAAUCUGCCUUUUGGUCUGGAAUAACACGGGGAAACUUGUGCUAAUACCGAAUAAGCCCUUACGGGGAAAGUUUUAACGCCGAAAGAUGAGCCCGCACUUGAUUAGCUAGUUGGUAAGGUAAAAGCUUACCAAGGCAACGAUCAAUAGCUGUUCUUAGAGGAAGACCAGCCACAUUGGGACUGAGACACGGCCCAGACUCCUACGGGAGGCAGCAGUGGGGAAUCUUGCACAAUGGGGGCAACCCUGAUCCAGCAAUUCCGCGUGUGUGAAGAAGGCCUGCGGGUUGUAAAGCACUUUCAGUAGCCAAGAUGGGAUUAUUCGCUAAUAUCGGAUGGUCUUGACAUUA
RNAcentral lists this ribosomal RNA (412 nucleotides) under uncultured bacterium. RNAcentral's name for it is "bacterial SSU rRNA". It matches the Rfam family "Bacterial small subunit ribosomal RNA", at positions 44 to 477 of the family's 1533-position model. The record is from RNAcentral.